This 430-nucleotide ribosomal RNA is filed under the name Flavobacterium sp. Its description in RNAcentral is "bacterial SSU rRNA". It matches the Rfam family "Bacterial small subunit ribosomal RNA", at positions 27 to 459 of the family's 1533-position model. The record is from RNAcentral. Lineage: Bacteria; Pseudomonadati; Bacteroidota; Flavobacteriia; Flavobacteriales; Flavobacteriaceae.
GGAUGAACGCUAGCGGCAGGCUUAACACAUGCAAGUCGAGGGGUAUAUUUCUUCGGAGAUAGAGACCGGCGCACGGGUGCGUAACGCGUAUGCAAUCUACCUUUUACAGAGGGAUAGCCCAGAGAAAUUUGGAUUAAUACCUCAUAGCAUUGCAGAAUGGCAUCAUUCAGCAAUUAAAGUCACAACGGUAAAAGAUGAGCAUGCGUCCCAUUAGCUAGUUGGUAAGGUAACGGCUUACCAAGGCUACGAUGGGUAGGGGUCCUGAGAGGGAGAUCCCCCACACUGGUACUGAGACACGGACCAGACUCCUACGGGAGGCAGCAGUGAGGAAUAUUGGACAAUGGGCGCAAGCCUGAUCCAGCCAUGCCGCGUGCAGGAUGACGGUCCUAUGGAUUGUAAACUGCUUUUAUACGAGAAGAAACACUGAUUC